This 492-nucleotide ribosomal RNA is filed under the name Triticum aestivum (bread wheat). Its description in RNAcentral is "partial small subunit ribosomal RNA". The record is from RNAcentral. Lineage: Eukaryota; Viridiplantae; Streptophyta; Magnoliopsida; Poales; Poaceae.
AUGAACAGUGCGAAACCCGUUAAGCUGUGCUAUAUAAAAAUCCUUGGGGUAGCACAGCAGUUUUCGUGGCGAAUUAAGGUUUCACCCUCGCAUAUAGACGACGGUAAGUCCGUGACUAGAAUGGAACAGCUGACCGGUGAGCAGGAGGACCUGUGCCUGGAGCUCACCCUCCGCCCCAUGGCGUCCGAGCCCCGCCCCGGCUUCUUCCUCUGCGUGUACUGCAACCGCAAGUUCGUCACCUCGCAGGCGCUCGGCGGCCACCAAAACGCACAUAAGCACGAGCGCAACGUCGCCAAGCGCCGCCGGCAAGCCGCUGCCGCUCGGCAGGGUGCGCCUGCUGCAGCGCCAGACGAGAGGCUGCCCUGGCACGGCGGCGGUUUCAUGUCUGCGGCCGGGACGGCUGCUCCUGCUGUCAAGGCGCACAAGCACGGCAGGAGCAGGCCGGAGCACGGUGGCGCCAUGGUCGACGUCGACUUGUCUCUUCGUCUAUGA